UGAUCCUCAUUGAUGCACCGGUACUUAACUCAAAUCAAAGUUUUCUCCACGUAUGUGGAGG
Molecule: small RNA, 61 nt
Filed under: Lactobacillus acidophilus
Lineage: Bacteria; Bacillati; Bacillota; Bacilli; Lactobacillales; Lactobacillaceae
Description: crRNA_10
Source: RNAcentral